This 68-nucleotide transfer RNA is filed under the name Marmota monax (woodchuck). It matches the Rfam family "tRNA". Rfam says of the family: Transfer RNA (tRNA) molecules are approximately 80 nucleotides in length. Their secondary structure includes four short double-helical elements and three loops (D, anti-codon, and T loops). The record is from Rfam by way of RNAcentral. Lineage: Eukaryota; Metazoa; Chordata; Mammalia; Rodentia; Sciuridae.
GGAGUUGUGGCUCAGUGGUAGAGCGCUCACCUAGCAUGUGCGAGGCCCUGGUUUGAUCCUCAACACCA